This 440-nucleotide ribosomal RNA is filed under the name uncultured bacterium. RNAcentral's name for it is "partial 16S ribosomal RNA". It matches the Rfam family "Bacterial small subunit ribosomal RNA", at positions 338 to 795 of the family's 1533-position model. The record is from RNAcentral.
CCUACGGGAGGCAGCAGUGGGGAAUAUUGCACAAUGGGGGAAACCCUGAUGCAGCGACGCCGCGUGAGUGAAGAAGUAAUUCGUUAUGUAAAGCUCUAUCAGCAGGGAAGAAAAUGACGGUACCUGAGUAAGAAGCCCCGGCUAACUACGUGCCAGCAGCCGCGGUACUACGUAGGGGGCAAGCGUUAUCCGGAUUUACUGGGUGUAAAGGGAGCGUAGACGGCAGUGCAAGUCUGGAGUGAAAGGCGGGGGCUCAACCCCCGGACUGCUCUGGAAACUGUACGGCUGGAGUGCAGGAGAGGUAAGUGGAAUUCGUAGUGUAGCGGUGAAAUGCGUAGAUAUUAGGAGGAACACCAGUGGCGAAGGCGGCUUACUGGACUGUAACUGACGUUGAGGCUCGAAAGCGUGGGGAGCAAACAGGAUUAGAUACCCCAGUAGUC